GGUGUUUGCUGUGAGGAUACUCAGUGGUCUUGAUGAGAGUAGAGUGCCAAAGAAAGUUUAGGAACCUGUGUCCGUCAACCCGCUCCAGCCAACAGUACAGUUCCAACUGUCAUAGUACUCCCAUGGAAAUCUGGAUAUAAGUGCUUAAAGGUAUUAAUUCCUAAUAAAUAUUUUGCACCUCAACUCUGUCUCAAUAUCUGCUUCUGGAAAAGCCUACCAGCAACACUCUUCUUCAGAUCUUUGGAAGCCUGAGAGACAAGCCAUAUGAAGAGAAGGGCUCUCCCUUUACCCCUGGGGUCACAGUUACCGGAAAGCCAAGCCUCUAGAAUACAUUAUACUUAAUCUUUGCCUUGGAACUCUCUGAAAAUAAACUCUCAUUUGACACAGAGAAGUGACAGACUUGCAUCUACUUUCUCUAUGAAGAUUCCUGCAGGGCCUGAAGCCUUACUUGUUCUGCCAAGGACCUGCUGGACUGGUGACUUUAGCUGCUGCUCAACCUAGGAGAGGAGAAUGCACUGAAAUUAAAAUUGGAGAGGAGAAAGGAUGCUUUCAGACUGAAAUAGUCCCAGCCUCCCCUCCUAAAUGUUUAGGCUACUUAAAAUUAUUUCUCUAGUUUCAUGAGCAGAUUUUUUUUAAGACACUGAACUUUGUUUUGAAGUGUAAAUGCAUACAAAAAAGUAUACACAGUACACAGUCACAUUGUUCAGUUCCAUAAAUUUCAUAGGAUGAACACACUCAACUAAUUGUCAUUCAGAUCAAGAAAAGAAUAUUACCAACAUCCCAAAAGCCCCAUUUGUACAUGCAUUCAGUUACCAUUCUUUAUCAUGUAAACAAUAUC
Molecule: long non-coding RNA, 838 nt
Organism: Balaenoptera ricei (Rice's whale)
Lineage: Eukaryota; Metazoa; Chordata; Mammalia; Artiodactyla; Balaenopteridae
Exons: 3
Source: RefSeq, a predicted model, not a curated record